This 267-nucleotide signal recognition particle RNA is filed under the name Planococcus shixiaomingii. RNAcentral describes it as "Planococcus sp. N022 signal recognition particle sRNA large type". It matches the Rfam family "Bacterial large signal recognition particle RNA". From Rfam's summary of the family: The signal recognition particle (SRP) is a universally conserved ribonucleoprotein involved in the co-translational targeting of proteins to membranes. Lineage: Bacteria; Bacillati; Bacillota; Bacilli; Caryophanales; Caryophanaceae. The record is from RNAcentral.
CCGUGCUAGGUGGGAAGAUAGCGGUGUCCUGUAACCUGCAAUCCGCUUCAGCAGGACUGAAUUCCUUUCCUAGGUUGUUUGUAUUGCAAGGCCAGCCUCUUGCACGUAGUGUUGACGUUUGGGUCCUGCGCAAUGGAAACCCAUGAACCAUGUCAGGUCCGGAAGGAAGCAGCAUUAAGUGGAUCUUUUCAUGUGCCGCGGGAUUGCCUAAAUCGAGCCAACGACAAGGGUAACGCUUGUGUGCAGCAGUCAAAGAAAGGUGCACGG